CCUACGGGGGGCUGCAGUGGGGGAUAUUGCACAAUGGGGGAAACCCUGAUGCAGCGACGCCGCGUGGGUGAAGAAGUAUUUCGGUAUGUAAAGCCCUAUCAGCAGGGAAGAAAGAAGACGGUACCUGACUAAGAAGCGCCGGCUAACUACGUGCCAGCAGCCGCGGUAAUACGUAGGGGGCGAGCGUUAUCCGGAUUCACUGGGUGUAAAGGGAGCGUAGACGGCCGUGCAAGCCAGGAGUGAAAGCCCGGGGCACAACCCCGGGACUGCUCUUGGAACUGUGCGGCUGGAGUGCGGGAGGGGCAGGCGGAAUUCCUGGUGUAGCGGGGAAAUGCGUAGAUAUCAGGAGGAACACCGGCGGCGAAGGCGGCCUGCUGGACCGCGACUGACGUUGAGGCUCGAAAGCGUGGGGAGCGAACAGGAUUAGAUACCCCAGUAGUC
Molecule: ribosomal RNA, 441 nt
Filed under: uncultured bacterium
Lineage: Bacteria
Description: partial 16S ribosomal RNA
Rfam family: Bacterial small subunit ribosomal RNA
Source: RNAcentral